GGGAUGGUGACUCAGUGGUAGAGUACUUGCCUAGCACAUAUGAGGCCCUGAGUUUGAUCCUCAGCAACACA
Molecule: transfer RNA, 71 nt
Filed under: Marmota monax (woodchuck)
Lineage: Eukaryota; Metazoa; Chordata; Mammalia; Rodentia; Sciuridae
Description: tRNA.Ala
Source: RNAcentral